Penaeus vannamei (Pacific white shrimp) is the source of this 701-nucleotide long non-coding RNA. RefSeq lists it as uncharacterized. The record is from RefSeq and is a predicted model, not a curated record. Lineage: Eukaryota; Metazoa; Arthropoda; Malacostraca; Decapoda; Penaeidae.
GUUUUAGGCCCGCGCUCACUCACUAUUCGGACUCCGCGCAGUACACAUCGAACAGAGGGAACGCGGGAAGUGCGGAAAAAUAACCAUGUGAAUAGAACACAGAAACAUCAAUACGUAAAAGUAUACAUGGAAUAGCUUAAAACAGAAAACGAGUAUACUUUCCCAUAAAGAUUUUUAUAAAAGAAGGGAAAUUAAAUAGGUGAUAAACUUAAUCAAAGGUAAUACGAGUGAAUCCGACUGUUCAUCGAGAUCCUGAGAUUUCCACUAUGGUUCUUGGCCUAAUUACAGAUGUUCUCCUACUUAUUGUUCCUAUCUUACUAACGAUGUACCUGAUACGGAAGAACAGGAGAAAGUCCGGAAGAACACUGUAGUGAACAUAUUUUUUUAGAGGUUUCAUUAUCUGAUGAUGCAUCAACUAUUUAUUGUCAGACACAUGUAACUCGAUAGUAAUAGUUGCAUUUUUUACAUUGAUAGUCUGUACACAAUGCCUGUCAUAUGUACUUCGACAGAAUGCUUGGAUAUGUUAUGUGUACUACGGCACCAUCUGUCUAUUUCUCUAUCUAUUGAUCUUUGGUAAUAACCCAUUCAGUUUUCAAAGACAACCAUAACUUUUCCCAUAAUGGUCUCGUCUGCAUUUCAAAAUAAACAUCCACUGACUUUGUCAACAUAGUAACAUGUAAAUAAAACCGAAAACGAAAUUG